CAACGUUAAUCGGGGCAGGGUGAGUCGACCCCUAAGGCGAGGCCGAAAGGCGUAGUCGAUGGGAAACAGGUUAAUAUUCCUGUACUUGGUGUUACUGCGAAGGGGGGACGGAGAAGGCUAUGUUGGCCGGGCGACGGUUGUCCCGGUUUAAGCGUGUAGGCUGGUUUUCCAGGCAAAUCCGGAAAACUAAGGCUGAGGCGUGAUGACGAGGCACUACGGUGCUGAAGCAACAAAUGCCCUGCUUCCAGGAAAAGCCUCUAAGCAUCAGGUAACAUCAAAUCGUACCCCAAACCGACACAGGUGGUCAGGUAGAGAAUACCAAGGCGCUUGAGAGAACUCGGGUGAAGGAACUAGGCAAAAUGGUGCCGUAACUUCGGGAGAAGGCACGCUGAUAUGUAGGUGAAGUCCCUCGCGGAUGGAGCUGAAAUCAGUCGAAGAUACCAGCUGGCUGCAACUGUUUAUUAAAAACACAGCACUGUGCAAACACGAAAGUGGACGUAUACGGUGUGACGCCUGCCCGGUGCCGGAAGGUUAAUUGAUGGGGUCAGCGCAAGCGAAGCUCUUGAUCGAAGCCCCGGUAAACGGCGGCCGUAACUAUAACGGUCCUAAGGUAGCGAAAUUCCUUGUCGGGUAAGUUCCGACCUGCACGAAUGGCGUAAUGAUGGCCAGGCUGUCUCCACCCGAGACUCAGUGAAAUUGAACUCGCUGUGAAGAUGCAGUGUACCCGCGGCAAGACGGAAAGACCCCGUGAACCUUUACUAUAGCUUGACACUGAACAUUGAGCCUUGAUGUGUAGGAUAGGUGGGAGGCUUUGAAGUGUGGACGCCAGUCUGCAUGGAGCCGACCUUGAAAUACCACCCUUUAAUGUUUGAUGUUCUAACGUUGACCCGUAAUCCGGGUUGCGGACAGUGUCUGGUGGGUAGUUUGACUGGGGCGGUCUCCUCCUAAAGAGUAACGGAGGAGCACGAAGGUUGGCUAAUCCUGGUCGGACAUCAGGAGGUUAGUGCAAUGGCAUAAGCCAGCUUGACUGCGAGCGUGACGGCGCGAGCAGGUGCGAAAGCAGGUCAUAGUGAUCCGGUGGUUCUGAAUGGAAGGGCCAUCGCUCAACGGAUAAAAGGUACUCCGGGGAUAACAGGCUGAUACCGCCCAAGAGUUCAUAUCGACGGCGGUGUUUGGCACCUCGAUGUCGGCUCAUCACAUCCUGGGGCUGAAGUAGGUCCCAAGGGUAUGGCUGUUCGCCAUUUAAAGUGGUACGCGAGCUGGGUUUAGAACGUCGUGAGACAGUUCGGUCCCUAUCUGCCGUGGGCGCUGGAGAACUGAGGGGGGCUGCUCCUAGUACGAGAGGACCGGAGUGGACGCAUCACUGGUGUUCGGGUUGUCAUGCCAAUGGCACUGCCCGGUAGCUAAAUGCGGAAGAGAUAAGUGCUGAAAGCAUCUAAGCACGAAACUUGCCCCGAGAUGAGUUCUCCCUGACUCCUUGAGAGUCCUGAAGGAACGUUGAAG
RNAcentral lists this ribosomal RNA (1503 nucleotides) under Escherichia coli. RNAcentral describes it as "partial 23S ribosomal RNA". It matches the Rfam family "Bacterial large subunit ribosomal RNA", at positions 1360 to 2843 of the family's 2925-position model. The record is from RNAcentral. Lineage: Bacteria; Pseudomonadati; Pseudomonadota; Gammaproteobacteria; Enterobacterales; Enterobacteriaceae.